Pocillopora verrucosa is the source of this 526-nucleotide non-coding RNA. NCBI's taxonomy places the organism in Eukaryota, Metazoa, Cnidaria, Anthozoa, Scleractinia, Pocilloporidae. The record is from RefSeq and is a predicted model, not a curated record.
UCACAUUUUUACAAAGGGAGUAUCAAAAAGCAGAUUGGAAAAAUCAUAAACCUUCUUGCACUGCUGCCAAGUAAUCUGGACGUCCCUAGGGGAGUGUCAAAAAGCAGAUUGGAAAAAUCAUAAACCUUCUUGCACUGCUGCCAAUGUGCCUACAUGAGAGAACCACAGUCUUCAUUAAAAGCAAGUUGAAGAGUUGGAAGUUGAUGCCUUGGAUUGGCAAAAGCUUGGAUUUUUAAAAUAUUUUAACAUCAAUAUUACAGUAGUUUCAGGCCUCAUUUGAACUUUUGUCCAUUCAAUUAUCUAAAAUGAUGCUGAAGGACAACAUUCAAUGAUCUGUGCUUCUUCUUUUAUUGUUGAUUGACCAUCAAACAUUUAAGUUUGAUUUUUUAACACAUAGCAUUGGACAGUAAGUCUGUCUUUCCACUUUGACAUGGCACCGCAAAAUAGAGAAAUAAUUACUUAUCAUGUACUCUAUGCAGUAAUAAUUACUAAGAAUCUUGUUUAAAAAAUAAAAAGUAAUUUUCAA